Molecule: non-coding RNA, 280 nt
Organism: Macaca mulatta (Rhesus monkey)
Lineage: Eukaryota; Metazoa; Chordata; Mammalia; Primates; Cercopithecidae
Source: RefSeq, a predicted model, not a curated record
GACCCUAGGGCUCCGCUCCGUGCCCUGCAUACCGUAGGCGCUCACGAAACGUUCGUGAGUUCCCCGCUUUGAGGAGACAAGCUUAAAAACUCGGAAUAACCACGCUGCACAAAGUGAACUUACCUGUUUUCAUCGCACUUUAUAUGCACGAAUUCUACCUCCACUCUCGACCUGGGACUCACUCCUGAGUAAGGAAGGACUGAAAGGCAAAAGGACCAUGGACUGGCCUUUUGGCAUAAUCAGGUGUUUAAAAAUAAAGAAGUGCACGAAUAAGAAAAGA